AGCAGCCGCGGUAAUUCCAGCUCCAAUAGCGUAUAUUAAAGUUGUUGCAGUUAAAAGCUCGUAGUUGAAUUUCGGGAUUGACGUGAUGGUCAUGCCUUAAGGGGUAUGAACUGUUACUGUUGAUUUCUCACCUUCUGGAGAAACUUGAUGUCCUUUAUUGGGUGUCUUGCGGAUCCAGGACCUUUACCUUGAAAAAAUUAGAGUGUUUAAAGCAGGCAUUUUUGCUCGAAUACAUUAGCAUGGAAUAAUAGAAUAGGACGGCAUGGUUCUAUUUUGUUGGUUUCUAGGAUCACCGUAAUGAUUAAUAGGGAUAGUUGGGGGCAUUAGUAUUCAAUUGUCAGAGGUGAAAUUCUUGGAUUUAUUGAAGACUAACUACUGCGAAAGCAUUUGCCAAGGAUGUUUUCAUUAAUCAAGAACGAAAGUUAGGGGAUCGAAGACGAUCAGAUACCGUCGUAGUCUUAACCAUAAACUAUGCCGACUAGGAAUCAGACGAUGUUAAUUUUUUU
Molecule: ribosomal RNA, 506 nt
Filed under: uncultured Entrophospora
Lineage: Eukaryota; Fungi; Glomeromycota; Glomeromycetes; Entrophosporales; Entrophosporaceae
Description: SSU rRNA
Rfam family: Eukaryotic small subunit ribosomal RNA
Source: RNAcentral